GGGGCCGACUGGUUUUGACAGCGGGUCUAAUUGUACAGUAAGCAUGUCGAGCGCUGGAAUACAGCUCGUAAAUCUCAUAUUUCACACUUUUUAAACGGCGAGAAUAACUACGCCCUAGCUGCAUAAUCUGAAUUAUAGUAGGAUAAUGCCUCGGUCCGCAAGGCGGACAAGCAGGAAGUCACUCGAAGGCCUUGGUUUGCGGCAAUCGAUAUAGUGGCUUCGUAAAAGUAAACCUAGAUAUCGCAGUGCUUUGAUGCGAUCUCGAAACUCAAUUAAAGCUAAGCCGUGCGUUGGUUGUUUUCGACCGGCAAUCAGACGAAAAUCUUAACGAAAACUAAACAUGUAGAAAGCGGUAUGGUUGCGCGUUUGGACGAGGGUUCGAAUCCCUCCGGCUCCACGA
This 400-nucleotide transfer-messenger RNA is filed under the name Flavobacteriaceae. RNAcentral describes it as "Pukyongia sp013043685 Standard tmRNA". It matches the Rfam family "transfer-messenger RNA". From Rfam's summary of the family: Bacterial tmRNA, also known as 10Sa RNA or SsrA, is named for its dual tRNA and mRNA-like properties. Its role is to liberate the mRNA from a stalled ribosome. Lineage: Bacteria; Pseudomonadati; Bacteroidota; Flavobacteriia; Flavobacteriales. RNAcentral also lists the same sequence under 1 other name. The record is from RNAcentral.